AGAAGCUGGAGAGCCUUUUCCGCAGUGGCUACCGAUAGAAUACACAAAAGCAACUUCACAUACGAAAAUGCAUGCCUCAACACCUCGUAGUUUUCGUAAACUCGAAUUUUGAACAUCGCGGUUCACGCCGACGCUGGCACACCUAGCGUCAAACCAAGAAAACGUACCCAUAUAUAGAAAACUCAUCUGGUCAUCCCACUGGGAUGACGUCAAUCGCCCAUGCAAUCAGCGCGCAGAAUGCCGUCACGUGAUCGAGCACUACAACAACAACUUUCAGCAAGAACCAACAUUUUUACGCCGAUAUACUGUUGUCACAAUGUCUGGAAAUAAAAAGUAUGUAUAUACUUCGAAAUCUACGACCUGUUUUAUAACUGCGAUAAUCCAAUUAGCGACUUCCGUGGAAAGAGGAGCUGCGAGGCUACGAGCUACGACGACUUUCGGGAUCCAGCGCGCUAUUUCACUGCGUUAGCGUAGUGUGUGUAUUUCCAAGUUUUCUUUAUUUAUAUCUUUUGGAACAACGACCAAUUUAUCGAGGUACAGCCCUUACUUCAUUUGAAGUGCCUCGGUUGUGUCGUCAAAGCGAGAUUUCUCGGCGGGCAUUCAGUUCCGUACGAUACUGCGCGUUCAACCGCAGCGGCAGGAUAAUACCGCGGCGGAUUUUGCCAAUCAUAUUUGAAGAAUGCAGACUAUGAGACGGACCCCUCAGUUUGAGUACAAAGAACCUCCGCCUACAGAAGUCCGCAGUGCUUUCCUUGAAUCUAUCUUCCAAGACUGUUGCAUCUGGACGUGACGAGGGUGAUGACUUCAGGGAAGUGGAAGGAACAGGAGAGGAAGACAUCUGGCAAUGGUCAUGACAGUUGUCCGUCAGGAAUCUACAGGUGGUGAGCAUGCGUAAGGAAUUGACAUAUCUCAGUACAACUUAGACCUGCCUGUUGCACAUGAGAUGUGUGACUCUACUUACACACACAAGCUUCUGCAGUCUCAGGAACAUCAACUCCCAUGUUCAAAAGAAGUGGAAUAUGCCUCUGCAAUCUGGAACCCAUCCCAACAUCUCUUAAUCGACAAAGUAGAAUUUGUACAGAACCGCACGGUUUGUUGUUCGUGAUUAUCAUCCUUUUUCCAGCGUCUCAGCCAUUAAAGCCAAACUCUUUCUUACUCCUUUGAUUACCA
Molecule: long non-coding RNA, 1170 nt
Organism: Ornithodoros turicata
Lineage: Eukaryota; Metazoa; Arthropoda; Arachnida; Ixodida; Argasidae
Exons: 4
Source: RefSeq, a predicted model, not a curated record